UGUCCAGACUCCUACGGGAGGCAGCAGUGGGGGAUAUUGCACAAUGGGGGAAACCCUGAUGCAGCGACGCCGCGUGGGUGAAGAAGCGCCUCGGCGCGUAAAGCCCUGUCAGCAGGGAAGAAAAUGACGGUACCUGAAGAAGAAGCCCCGACUAACUACGUGCCAGCAGCCGCGGUAAUACGUAGGGGGCAAGCGUUAUCCGGAUUUACUGGGUGUAAAGGGGGCGCAGACGGCGAUGCAAGCCAGGAGUGAAAGCCCGGGGCCCAACCCCGGGACUGCUCUUGGAACUGCGUGGCUAGAGUGCAGGAGGGGCAGGCGGAAUUCCUGGUGUAGCGGUGAAAUGCGUAGAUAUUAGGAGGAACACCAGUGGCGAAGGCGGCUCACUGGACUGUAACUGACGUUGAGGCUCGAAAGCGUGGGGAGCGAACAGGAUUAGAUACCCGUGUAC
This 448-nucleotide ribosomal RNA is filed under the name uncultured bacterium. Its description in RNAcentral is "bacterial SSU rRNA". It matches the Rfam family "Bacterial small subunit ribosomal RNA", at positions 328 to 793 of the family's 1533-position model. The record is from RNAcentral.